RNAcentral lists this transfer RNA (79 nucleotides) under Vulcanisaeta sp. Its description in RNAcentral is "tRNA-Trp". It matches the Rfam family "tRNA". From Rfam's summary of the family: Transfer RNA (tRNA) molecules are approximately 80 nucleotides in length. Their secondary structure includes four short double-helical elements and three loops (D, anti-codon, and T loops). Further hydrogen bonds mediate the characteristic L-shaped molecular structure. tRNAs have two regions of fundamental functional importance: the anti-codon, which is responsible for specific mRNA codon recognition, and the 3' end, to which the tRNAs corresponding amino acid is attached (by aminoacyl-tRNA synthetases). tRNAs cope with the degeneracy of the genetic code in two manners: having more than one tRNA (with a specific anti-codon) for a particular amino acid; and 'wobble' base-pairing, i.e. permitting non-standard base-pairing at the 3rd anti-codon position. The record is from RNAcentral. Lineage: Archaea; Thermoproteati; Thermoproteota; Thermoprotei; Thermoproteales; Thermoproteaceae.
CGCCCCGUACAUACAACGAGUAGACUAAAGCGGGCUCCAGACCCGUAGGUCGUGGGUUCAAAUCCCACCGGGCCCACCA